GAGGGUGGGCCCCUCGAAGGUCGGCGUGCAGGCGCAGGCCUCAAACCACCCACUGCUGCUGCGCUUAAGAGGCGUGGUGGUGAGCGAGCUGGGAAAAGGCCGGGUUCGACCCGGUGUUACGU
Molecule: non-coding RNA, 122 nt
Filed under: Roseateles saccharophilus
Lineage: Bacteria; Pseudomonadati; Pseudomonadota; Betaproteobacteria; Burkholderiales; Sphaerotilaceae
Source: RNAcentral